UACAGAGGGGGCAAGCGUUGUUCGGAAUCACUGGGCGUAAAGGGUGCGUAGGCGGGUCUUUAAGUCAGGGGUGAAAUCCUGGAGCUCAACUCCAGAACUGCCUUUGAUACUGAAGAUCUUGAGUCCGGGAGAGGUGAGUGGAACUGCGAGUGUAGAGGUGAAAUUCGUAGAUAUUCGCAAGAGCACCAGUGGCGAAGGCGGCUCACUGGCCCGGUACUGACGCUGAGGCACGAAAGCGUGGGGAGCAAACAGG
RNAcentral lists this ribosomal RNA (253 nucleotides) under uncultured bacterium. RNAcentral's name for it is "partial 16S ribosomal RNA". It matches the Rfam family "Bacterial small subunit ribosomal RNA", at positions 524 to 776 of the family's 1533-position model. The record is from RNAcentral.